CCCUUAGAUGUUCUGGGCUGCACGCGUGCUACACUGAUAUUGCCAAUAUGUCAUUCUUAUCCGAAAUGGAUUGGGUAAUCAAGUAAUGAAAUUUCAUGCUUGGAAUCGGUAAUUGCAAUUUUAUCGUGAACGAGGAAUUCCUAGUAAGCACUAGUCAUCAGCUAAUGUUGAUUAUGUCCCUGCCCUUUGUACACACCGCCCGUCGCUACUACUGAUUGGGUGUUCAAGUGAGAUGCUUAGACCCUUGUUGCAUGGUUCAUUAUUGUGCUCCGAAAGGAAAAAGUUUCAAGCUUGAGUGUCUAGAGGAAGGAGAAGUCGUAACA
Molecule: ribosomal RNA, 323 nt
Filed under: uncultured eukaryote
Lineage: Eukaryota
Description: partial 18S ribosomal RNA
Rfam family: Eukaryotic small subunit ribosomal RNA
Source: RNAcentral